This 1166-nucleotide ribosomal RNA is filed under the name Bacillus sp. SLG310A2-17. RNAcentral describes it as "bacterial SSU rRNA". It matches the Rfam family "Bacterial small subunit ribosomal RNA", at positions 240 to 1397 of the family's 1533-position model. Lineage: Bacteria; Bacillati; Bacillota; Bacilli; Caryophanales; Bacillaceae. The record is from RNAcentral.
AUUAGCUAGUUGGUGGGGUAACGGCUCACCAAGGCGACGAUGCGUAGCCGACCUGAGAGGGUGAUCGGCCACACUGGGACUGAGACACGGCCCAGACUCCUACGGGAGGCAGCAGUAGGGAAUCUUCCGCAAUGGACGAAAGUCUGACGGAGCAACGCCGCGUGAGUGAUGAAGGUUUUCGGAUCGUAAAACUCUGUUGUUAGGGAAGAACAAGUGCCGUUCGAAAGGGCGGCACCUUGACGGUACCUAACGAGAAAGCCACGGCUAACUACGUGCCAGCAGCCGCGGUAAUACGUAGGUGGCAAGCGUUGUCCGGAAUUAUUGGGCGUAAAGCGCGCGCAGGCGGUCUCUUAAGUCUGAUGUGAAAGCCCCCGGCUCAACCGGGGAGGGUCAUUGGAAACUGGGAGACUUGAGUACAGAAGAGGAGAGUGGAAUUCCACGUGUAGCGGUGAAAUGCGUAGAGAUGUGGAGGAACACCAGUGGCGAAGGCGACUCUCUGGUCUGUAACUGACGCUGAGGCGCGAAAGCGUGGGGAGCAAACAGGAUUAGAUACCCUGGUAGUCCACGCCGUAAACGAUGAGUGCUAGGUGUUAGGGGUUUCGACGCCCUUAGUGCCGAAGUUAACACAUUAAGCACUCCGCCUGGGGAGUACGACCGCAAGGUUGAAACUCAAAGGAAUUGACGGGGGCCCGCACAAGCAGUGGAGCAUGUGGUUUAAUUCGAAGCAACGCGAAGAACCUUACCAGGUCUUGACAUCCUUUGACCACCCUAGAGAUAGGGCUUUCCCCUUCGGGGGACAAAGUGACAGGUGGUGCAUGGUUGUCGUCAGCUCGUGUCGUGAGAUGUUGGGUUAAGUCCCGCAACGAGCGCAACCCUUGACCUUAGUUGCCAGCAUUCAGUUGGGCACUCUAAGGUGACUGCCGGUGACAAACCGGAGGAAGGUGGGGAUGACGUCAAAUCAUCAUGCCCCUUAUGACCUGGGCUACACACGUGCUACAAUGGAUGGUACAAAGGGUUGCGAAGCCGUGAGGUGAAGCCAAUCCCAGAAAGCCAUUCUCAGUUCGGAUUGCAGGCUGCAACUCGCCUGCAUGAAGCCGGAAUUGCUAGUAAUCGCGGAUCAGCAUGCCGCGGUGAAUACGUUCCCGGGCCUUGUACACACCGCCCGU